UCGAACCUGCAGCAGGUUCGGGUCGAACGCAGUGAGACAACGGAGCCGCUUGCGGCGACGGCCCGAAGGGCGAGGCGAAGCCGAGUCAUCCUGCACGACCCACCA
This 105-nucleotide small RNA is filed under the name Klebsiella pneumoniae. RNAcentral describes it as "partial RtT sRNA". It matches the Rfam family "RtT RNA", at positions 24 to 130 of the family's 130-position model. Rfam says of the family: This family represents a bacterial cis-regulatory element known as RtT RNA. The exact function of RtT is unknown although it is thought that it may be involved in changing the cellular response in relation to amino acid starvation. Lineage: Bacteria; Pseudomonadati; Pseudomonadota; Gammaproteobacteria; Enterobacterales; Enterobacteriaceae. The record is from RNAcentral.